AUUGAACGCUGGCGGCAUGCCUUACACAUGCAAGUCGAACGGUAACGCGGGGCAACCUGGCGACGAGUGGCGAACGGGUGAGUAAUACAUCGGAACGCGCCCAGUAGUGGGGGAUAGCCCGGCGAAAGCCGGAUUAAUACCGCAUACGACCUACGGGUGAAAGCGGGGGAUCGCAAGACCUCGCGCUAUUGGAGCGGCCGAUGUCAGAUUAGCUAGUUGGUGGGGUAAAAGCCUACCAAGGCGACGAUCUGUAGCUGGUCUGAGAGGACGACCAGCCACACUGGACUGAGACACGGCCCAGGCUCCUACGGGAGGCAGCAGUGGGGAAUUUUGGACAAUGGGGGGCAACCCUGAUCCAGCCAUGCCGCGUGCGGGAAGAAGGCCUUCGGGUUGUAACCGCUUUGUCUAGGGAAGAAACGGUACUGCGCUAUACCGCGG
This 438-nucleotide ribosomal RNA is filed under the name uncultured bacterium. RNAcentral describes it as "bacterial SSU rRNA". It matches the Rfam family "Bacterial small subunit ribosomal RNA", at positions 29 to 471 of the family's 1533-position model. The record is from RNAcentral.